This 944-nucleotide unclassified non-coding RNA is filed under the name Anthonomus grandis grandis. Its description in RNAcentral is "uncharacterized LOC126748224". The record is from RNAcentral. Lineage: Eukaryota; Metazoa; Arthropoda; Insecta; Coleoptera; Curculionidae.
ACUUAAAUAAAUAGUAAGAGUGUGAGAAAAUAAACAAUUUAAUCAGUUCACAGAAUUUAUUUUAUUAAGUGCUCCGUUAUUCACAAGACAAUAAUAAAGUCGGUUUUAAAAUGACUCAUUGAACCAUUGGCAAGUACUUGUCCGCUAAUAUCUCUACAUUCGCGAGUAAUUCGAUCCUUUAAAUAAGAAAAUUUUCAGGUUGAUUUGAAAACUAUUUGGCAUCAAAACUUUAAACAAAUCAGACUAUAUUUUCUGCCAUUUUAUAAAAGUGACAUUGUGCCUAUUCAUAAAAUAUUGAUAAUAACUAUUGAGAAAUUAUUACACAAUAUUUUGAUACACAAUAUUAUUGUCGCAUCAUUGUUUCAAUACUAAGACCUUGAGAAUUCGUGCAACAUGCAUUGGUGAAAUAUAAAUUCAAAAACCAAGGGACCAAGGCUAACCACUGAUGUAGCACCUUCUCUUAGUCUGCCAAAAUCAAAAGGUUUAUAGGUAAGCCACGUGAAAAAGCAGGAAAGGAUUAAAGAGAGAACCGAAGAAGUCUUUAAAGGAAUUGAUCGCUCAGUCUAGUGAGCUCACAAUAUGGCCAUAAAGCAAAGAGUGCUUUUGGACUAGAAGACAUCGACAACAUAUCUGAAAUUAACAAUAGUACUUUUUUGGGGAAUUAUAACAACUUGUUUAACGCUUCAAGUAUAAAUUUACUGGUUCCUAAAACAAAAGAUGCAGCUAACAAUUUCAGAAAAAGUAAAAUCCAUAAUGAAAAUUUGCCUGAAAUCGCAAACCUCGCCCAAUACAGGUUGGUUACAGAAUAUCCUUGAAACCUUUUGAAAGUACCCUAGUAAUACUUUAUGUACAUACAUAUUCGGGUAUUUAUCAGGACGAAAUAACGUUCACUGCAAGAACUGGGACGUUACGCAUUCAGAAAAGAGUUCUUAUAGAUGUUAGAA